Molecule: long non-coding RNA, 216 nt
Filed under: Elaeis guineensis (African oil palm)
Lineage: Eukaryota; Viridiplantae; Streptophyta; Magnoliopsida; Arecales; Arecaceae
Description: long non-coding RNA (EGUI_LNC031013)
Source: RNAcentral
GAGACAAACCGAUUCAGAGCAGUGACUCUUCCUACAAGGCAUUGGACCUCCUUGAUUGUCCUUGGGGAGUCAUCUCCUGCACAGCCUUAAUUUUCUCCAGAUUAGCCUCUAUUCCUCGACUGGAGACCAUGAAACCUAAGAAUUUCUCAGAGAUCACUUUGAAAGCAUACUUGGUUGAAUUUAGCUUCAUCUUGUACUUCCAUAGUAUGGUAAAGG